RNAcentral lists this unclassified non-coding RNA (3226 nucleotides) under Hevea brasiliensis (rubber tree). The record is from RNAcentral. Lineage: Eukaryota; Viridiplantae; Streptophyta; Magnoliopsida; Malpighiales; Euphorbiaceae.
AUUUUGUUUAGGACAUUGUGGAUUUAGUGCUGCCUAUUUCAGGUUUAUUUAGGGUUAUUUUGGGCGUCACUGACACCUAUGCCUUCAAGUAGGUUUGCACAUGACUCGUUCAUUUUGAAAGACAGAAAUGAGACAUCUUUGAGUAAUUGACAUUGACAUAUCUAGAUGAUCGUGUAGGAGGAGAAAAUUCUGGUUGAUUCAAGAAUUUGGAAAUUUUGGUUUUUUAAUUAUUUUUUAUUUUAAUGCUAAAUGAGCUCUAACUGACACUUGCUAGAAGUGUCGGCACUGGUACAGAAUUUAGGAGUUGAAAAUUGUUUCACCGUAAAACUGAAGAAUGUAAAAUAUACUAGAAAGCUAAUUUUAGUAUCGUGUUUAUCACUUCUUAAUCCUCGUACACCAUACCUACUUUUUGACUUGAAUCUUUUUGUGUUGAAAUGGUCACAUGAGGUUGGAUUUUUUUGUUUGAAACUGCUGAUCAAAUAGGGGUAUUCAUUUGAGAUUGUUAUAACCACCUAGAUGUUGUGAACCAACAGUGUGAAUACUUUUUAAUGAACGGCAUUUUCUUACCAGAGCUGCUUUUGUUUGUUCAACCACCAAUUUUGAAAUAUCAUAUGCAACAAUGGAUCAUUGAUUUGGAGUUAAGUUUAAUAAAAAAGAAGCAGAGAUCAGACGCUUCAAAAAGCAGAUAGCUCAGAUUGAAGCAGAUAUGCAUAAAACUCCCGAUCCAUGGGCACACCCUCAUACUUUUUCUUUUUCCAGAAAUCAAAAUCCAUUCAUGGUCACACCGGCACCAACCUUGUCACCAUUUGGAAUGUUUUUCUCUGAAUCAUCCCCAUCUUAUUAUCCUUCACCUUUCCUCUCAAAAUCACCUUCUCAACCUUUUAAACCAGAACCUAGCCUCUCUCCUCUUCUGAUGAAUCCUUGCAUCAAAAAACUGAUAAAGGAAAAGCUCAUAUGCAUCCUGAGCAGGAAAAGCUCCUAUGCAUCCUGAGCCCCCUCACAGCACAUGGCUCAUGUCUCUGAUCCAAUUCUUAAUGAAGGAUUUGAUAAAUCAGAUGAUGAUUUUUAACCUCUGAUUCAGACAACGAAGACCAAAUGGCAGAUAUUACUACUCUGCUCAUGGCAGAUCCCAUUGGACCAUCUGCUUCCACAGGCUCUAAUACAGGAACCACUACGGAACCUGUUAAUGACCCCCAUGUUGAACAUCCCAUUGAUGAAGAUGUUGAAGAACUUUCCUUUGCUCCUCCAAAUACUCAACAGUCCACAAAACUAGGUGUAGGUCAUUGGUUUACUCUUGAUGACAUUCCACCAUCAAAAUGGAGAGCAAGAAUUGUAGAAUUCAAAGCAUGGAUGGAAGUUCAAAUGCUUAAAGCUGAUGUAGAUUCUCAUGUGGUCCUUAGAGAAUUUGUCUCCAGAACAAUUGGCUCAUUGCAAGAAUGGUUCUCUUCUUUAGGAGAAUACCAUCUUGCUCAAUUUUACCGUUUCAGUGUCCUAGCUGCCAUCAAUGCCAUAUUUACAUAAUUCUUAGGAGAUGCAACUAUCUACAACAAACAGCUUCGUCAAGAAUUCUUUGAUAUGAAAUGUUGCUCUCUCAAGAGAUCAAACAUUGAAAAGCAUUAUCAACGAAUGACUCACCAUUACGACCUUCUCAAUGGCUUCAAUGAUAUUAAUCUCAGAUACACGUAUAUAGCUUCUCUCCCAAAACAACUUCAGCCAGAACUACAUCGCUUUCUUACAGCUUCCCGUAGAGAUAUGAAUACUAUCUCUAUUGGAGAAAUCCAUCAACUUACUCUGGCAUGUUUAGAAAAGAUGUGUGACCAACAGAAACUAUUUAAAGAUAUCAUUGACAACAGUAAGACGCUAAAGAAUGUUUGUCAAAAGUUCCACCUUUCCAUCAAAUGCAAAGAGAAGCAUUGUGUUUGUAAACCUAAGAAGAAGAACUACCAACAAAAGUUUUUCUCUUCUAAGUUCCCUUCCAAGAAAAAGGGAAAAAGAUCUGUCAGAUACUUUAGAAGAAGAAAACGGGGCAUGCCAUUAAAAAAAUAUUAUAGGUGCUACAUCUGUGGUAACAACGGAUAUUACGCAAAGAAUUGUCCAAAGAACCCUAAUAAAGCAGUUAAGCUGAUACAACACAUCCAACAGGGUACCCAAAUGUCUCUAGCUGAUGAUGACAUUGAAUCUCUUUUCUCUGAACAAGAUGAACCUGAUGGAAACACAGUUUUUGCCCUAGUAGAAGAUGAUCAAGAAUCGAGCACCACUUCGGAUGAUUCAGAUUCAGAACCUGAGAACCCUUAUCCAUUACUGCAUCUGACCCAACAGUUAACCCACUCUCAACAAAGUCCGACCCAACAAACCAUUCCUGUUCCACUGGUCUCCCUACAUGUACUGCCCAGUAAAUUUUCAAGGCCCAUUUCAACUAUUGGAUUUCUUGAUACAGGAGUUCAUAAAAGUAUGAUGAAUUCAGUCAUUUUACCUCCAAAAGAUUGGGUCUAACAUACAGAAUAUUUUAAGGCAGCUGAUGGAAAAGUUUUCAAGAUCAGUCUCAUUACUAAGAAGCUCAUUGGUGUUCAGUUCUUCCCUAAUUUCAUAAUAUGGAUUAAGGUCAUUGGGUCAGACCUUCCAGACAAAGAUAUCCUCAUUGAGUUUGAUAUUUACCAACAAGCGAAGCAACUAAAGAUUCUGCCCACUGGCUUAAAAUUUAAAAUACAUUUUCAGCCUUUUACCACAAUUCCAAAACUCUUUUCAUUAGCAGAAGCUCCACUUGCAUUUCAAGAUCAAAAGGAUCUACUCCUAAAAUCAUGUGAUGAUUCGCAUGCCGAUUUCUUUCAUCCUCACCCAUUGUGGAAAAAUACUGAGUUCUUCAUUCACUUUCCCUUCAAAUUGAAUGAAGACGUAAACCCUAGAAAUGCCUCAUAUCCGGGAAUGACUCCACUAGACCUGGUUCUUGCUCAAGAAGAAUGUAGAUAACUUCUCCAGUAGGGUCUCAUUGAGCCCACAAGUUCUCCAUGGGCUUGCCAAGCCUUUUAUCUGGAAAAAAGAUAUGAAAAGCUUAGAGGCAAAAAGAGAUUAGUCAUAGACUAUAAGCCUCUCAGCCACUUUCUCCAAGACGACAAGUUUCCUCUGCCUAAAAUAGAUGCACUAUUCACUCAGUUACAUGAAGCUCACAUCUUCUCUAAGUUUGAUUUCAAAGCAGGCUUCUGGCAGUUAGGCAUCCACCCUGCAGAUA